UACAGAGGGUGCAAGCGUUGUUCGGAAUUAUUGGGCGUAAAGCGCGUGUAGGCGGCUUGGCAAGUCGGGUGUGAAAUCCCUCAGCUUAACUGAGGAAGUGCGCCCGAAACUGCCGAGCUUGAGUACCGGAGAGGGUGGCGGAAUUCCCCAAGUAGAGGUGAAAUUCGUAGAUAUGGGGAGGAACACCGGUGGCGUAGGCGGCCACCUGGACGGAUACUGACGCUGAGACGCGAAAGCGUGGGGAGCAAACAGG
This 253-nucleotide ribosomal RNA is filed under the name uncultured bacterium. RNAcentral's name for it is "partial 16S ribosomal RNA". It matches the Rfam family "Bacterial small subunit ribosomal RNA", at positions 524 to 776 of the family's 1533-position model. The record is from RNAcentral.